UACGGGGGGGGCAAGCGUUGUUCGGAAUUACUGGGCGUAAAGGGCUCGUAGAUGGCCAACUAAGUCAGACGUGAAAUCCCUCAGCUUAACUGGGGAACUGCGUCUGAUACUGGAUGGCUUGAGUUUGGGAGAGGGAUGCGGAAUUCCAGGUGUAGCGGUGGAAUGCGUAGAUAUCUGGAGGAACACCGGUGGCGAAGGCGGCAUCCUGGACCAACACUGACACUGAGGAGCGAAAGCCAGGGGAGCAAACGGG
RNAcentral lists this ribosomal RNA (253 nucleotides) under uncultured bacterium. RNAcentral's name for it is "partial 16S ribosomal RNA". It matches the Rfam family "Bacterial small subunit ribosomal RNA", at positions 524 to 776 of the family's 1533-position model. The record is from RNAcentral.